CUUAGGGAGGAGCUUGCGUCACAUUAGUUAGUUGGUGGGGUAAAGGCCUACCAAGACUAUGAUGUGUAGCCGGGCUGAGAGGUUGAACGGCCACAUUGGGACUGAGACACGGCCCAAACUCCUACGGGAGGCAGCAGUAGGGAAUUUUCGGCAAUGGAGGAAACUCUGACCGAGCAACGCCGCGUGAACGAUGAAGUAUUUCGGUACGUAAAGUUCUUUUAUUAGGGAAGAAUAAAUGAUGGAAAAAUCAUUCUGACGGUACCUAAUGAAUAAGCCCCGGCUAACUAUGUGCCAGCAGCCGCGGUAAUACAUAGGGGGCAAGCGUUAUCCGGAAUUAUUGGGCGUAAAGGGUGCGUAGGCGGUUAAAUAAGUUUAUGGUCUAAGUGCAAUGCUCAACAUUGUGAUGCUAUAAAAACUGUUUAGCUAGAGUAAGAUAGAGGCAAGUGGAAUUCCAUGUGUAGUGGUAAAAUGCGUAAAUAUAUGGAGGAACACCAGUAGCGAAGGCGGCUUGCUGGGUCUUUACUGACGCUGAGGCACGAAAGCGUGGGGAGCAAACAGGAUUAGAUACCCUGGUAGUCCACGCCGUAAACGAUGAGUACUAAACGUUGGGUAAAACCAGUGUUGAAGUUAACACAUUAAGUACUCCGCCUGAGUAGUACGUACGCAAGUAUGAAACUUAAAGGAAUUGACGGGACUCCGCACAAGCGGUGGAUCAUGUUGUUUAAUUCGAAGGUACCCGAAAAACCUCACCAGGUCUUGACAUGCUUCUGCAAAACUGUAGAAACACAGUGGANGUUAUCAGUUGCACAGGUGGUGCAUGGUUGUCGUCAGCUCGUGUCGUGAGAUGUUGGGUUAAGUCCCGCAACGAGCGCAACCCUUAUUGUUAGUUACCAGCACGUAAUGGUGGGGACUUUAGCA
Molecule: ribosomal RNA, 918 nt
Filed under: Candidatus Phytoplasma asteris-related phytoplasma
Lineage: Bacteria; Bacillati; Mycoplasmatota; Mollicutes; Acholeplasmatales; Acholeplasmataceae
Description: bacterial SSU rRNA
Rfam family: Bacterial small subunit ribosomal RNA
Source: RNAcentral